GAAUCUUGCGCAAUGGGGGAAACCCUGACGCAGCCACGCCGCGUGCCGGAAGAAGGCCCUAUGGGUUGUAAACGGCGUUUAUUCGGGAAGAAAGUCCGGGAUUCGUCCUGGUUUGACGGUACCGAAUGAAUAAGCACCGGCUAACUCCGUGCCAGCAGCCGCGGUAAUACGGAGGGUGCAAGCGUUGUCCGGAAUCAUUGGGUGUAAAGGGUGCGUAGGCGGCCACUUAAGUCUGGGGUGAAAUCUUGCCGCUUCACGGUAAAAUUGCCUUGGAUACUGAGUGCCUUGAAUCUGGUAGAGGUUGGCGGAAUUUGUGGUGUAGCGGUGAAAUGCAUAGAUAUCACAAAGAACACCGGUGGCGAAGGCGGCCAACUGGGCCAGUAUUGACGCUGAGGCACGAGAGCGUGGGGAGCAAAC
Molecule: ribosomal RNA, 417 nt
Filed under: uncultured bacterium
Lineage: Bacteria
Description: partial 16S ribosomal RNA
Rfam family: Bacterial small subunit ribosomal RNA
Source: RNAcentral